Long non-coding RNA from Gopherus agassizii (Agassiz's desert tortoise), 1619 nucleotides. NCBI's taxonomy places the organism in Eukaryota, Metazoa, Chordata, Testudines, Testudinidae. The record is from Ensembl.
GGCCCUGGGUGUCAGACUGGUACACUCAGAUGGAGGAACUGGAGUUACUAGUGCAGGAAGUGAAACCAGAUAUUAUAGGGAUAACUGAAACCUGGUGGAAUAGUACUCAUGACUGGAGCACGGGUAUUGAAGGCUAUGUGCUGUUUAGGAAAGACAGAAAGAAAGGCAAAGGUGGUGGAGUAGCCUUGUACAUCAAUGAUGACAUUAACUGUAGCGAAAUAAGAAGCGAUGGAAUGGAUAAGACAGAGUCUGUCUGGGCGAAAAUCACAUUGGGUAAAAAAGCAACUAGAGCUUCCCCUGAGAUAGUGCUUGGCGUGUGCUACAGACCGCCGGGAUCUGAUUGGGAUAUGGAUAGAGACCUCUUUAAUGUCUUUAAUGAAGUAAACACAAAGGGGAAAUGUGUGAUUAUGGGGGACUUCAACUUCCCGGAUAUAGACUGGAGGACGAGUACUUGCAAGAAUAAUAGGGGUCAGAUUUUUCUGGAUGUGAUAGCGGAUGGAUUUCUUCAUCAAGUAGUUGAAGUACCUACGAGAGGAGAUGCCAUUUUAGAUUUGGUGUUGGUGAGCAGUGAGGACCUCGUAGAAGAAAUGGUGGUAGGGGACAACCUUGGUUCGAGUGAUCAUGAGCUGAUUCAGUUCAAACUAGAUGGAAGGAUAAACAAAUGUAGAUCUGGGAUUAGGGUUUUUGACUUCUCGAGGGCUAAUUUUAAAGAGUUAAGGAAAUUAGUUAGGGAAGUGGAUUGGACGGAGGAAUUAGUGGAUUUAAAUGCGGAGGAGGCCUGGAAUUACUUUAAGUCGCAGCUGCGGAGACUGUCGGAAGCCUGCAUCCCGAGAAAGGGGAAAAAAACCAUGGGCAGGAGUUGUAGGCCAAACUGGAUGAGCAAACAACUCAGAGAGGGGAUUAGACAAAAGCAGACAGCUUACAGGGAGUGGAAGAAAGGCAGGAUCAGUAAGGAAAGCUACCUUGGUGAGGUCAGAACGUGUAGGGAUAAAGUGAGGAAGGCUAAAAGCCGCAUUGAACUGGACCUUGCAAAGGGAAUCAAAACCAAUAGUAAAAGGUUCUACAGCCACAUAAAUAAGAAGAAAACAAAGAAAGAAGAAGUGGGGCCGCUAUACACUGAGGAUGGAAUGGAGGUUAAGGAUAACCUAGGCAUGGCCCAACAUCUAAACAAGUACUUUGCUUCAGUUUUUAAUAAGACUAGUGAGGAACCUUGCGAUGAUGGAGGGAUGAUAAACGGGAAUGUGGAUAUGGAAGUGGAUAUUACCGCAACUGAGGUAGAGGCCGUACUUGAACAGCUCGAUGGGACGAAGUCGGAGGGCCCGGACAAUCUCCAUCCGAGGAUAUUAAAGGAACUGGCGCGUGAAAUUGCGAGCCCGUUAGCGAGAAUUUUUAAGCAAUCGAUAAACUCGGGGGUUGUGCCGUAUGACUGGAGGAUUGCUAAUGUAGUUCCUAUUUUUAAGAAAGGGAAUAAAAGUGAUCCGGGUAAUUAUAGGCCUGUUAGCUUGACGUCUGUAGUAUGCAAGGUCUUGGAAAAAAUUUUAAGGGAGAAAGUAGUCAAGGACAUAGAGGUCAAUGGUAAUUGGGACGAAUUGCAACACGGAUUUAGUAAAGGUAGAUCG